CAAGGAGUAGUUUAUAUAGAAUAUUAGCUUUGGGGGUUAAUGGUGAAAGAAAGUUUUUUCCUCCUUGA
Molecule: transfer RNA, 68 nt
Filed under: Rhizomys sinensis (Chinese bamboo rat)
Lineage: Eukaryota; Metazoa; Chordata; Mammalia; Rodentia; Spalacidae
Description: tRNA-Pro
Source: RNAcentral